This is a long non-coding RNA of Mya arenaria, 390 nucleotides long. RefSeq lists it as uncharacterized. Lineage: Eukaryota; Metazoa; Mollusca; Bivalvia; Myida; Myidae. The transcript has 3 exons. The record is from RefSeq and is a predicted model, not a curated record.
UAAGAGCAGAUAAACCGCAUUUAUCUAGGUGUCUUGUGUUCCUUCUGGCUCAUUUUGAAAGCAAACUAACUGUGUUAACAUGGGAACUCUGACCAUUCUUUCCGGGUGUGUUUUCGCGGUGCUUUUAGCAGUUGUCGUUGCGGAAAACUGCGCAGGCACGAGUUCAUGCGUGUUGGAGCAAUGUAACACUGAUUUCACGAUGGGCUGUCUAGACAAUGUCUGCACAUGUAUCCCGCCGAGUAACAACAACUACAACUGUCCAACUGGUUUAGGCGAUGAAUGCCAAAAGAACCACGGACCAUGUACCCAUGGGGAUCACCGUUGGCAUUGUUAUGACGGCCGUUGCCAUUGCCGAUCUUUUGGUUAGGUAUGGCUUUAGUGUAGCUGAUU